AUUGAACGCUGGCGGCAUGCCUUACACAUGCAAGUCGAACGGCAGCGCGGGGCAACCUGGCGGCGAGUGGCGAACGGGUGAGUAAUAUAUCGGAACGUACCCUGGAGUGGGGGAUAACGUAGCGAAAGUUACGCUAAUACCGCAUACGAUCUAAGGAUGAAAGUGGGGGACCGCAAGGCCUCAUGCUCCUGGAGCGGCCGAUAUCUGAUUAGCUAGUUGGUGGGGUAAAGGCCUACCAAGGCAUCGAUCAGUAGCUGGUCUGAGAGGACGACCAGCCACACUGGGACUGAGACACGGCCCAGACUCCUACGGGAGGCAGCAGUGGGGAAUUUUGGACAAUGGGCGCAAGCCUGAUCCAGCAAUGCCGCGUGAGUGAAGAAGG
RNAcentral lists this ribosomal RNA (382 nucleotides) under uncultured bacterium. Its description in RNAcentral is "bacterial SSU rRNA". It matches the Rfam family "Bacterial small subunit ribosomal RNA", at positions 30 to 414 of the family's 1533-position model. The record is from RNAcentral.